Molecule: transfer RNA, 68 nt
Filed under: Tragelaphus imberbis (lesser kudu)
Lineage: Eukaryota; Metazoa; Chordata; Mammalia; Artiodactyla; Bovidae
Description: tRNA-Lys
Source: RNAcentral
CACUAAGAAGCUGUACCAGCAUUAACCUUUUAAGUUAAAGACUGAGAGCAUCAAACUCUCCUUAGUGG